RNAcentral lists this ribosomal RNA (490 nucleotides) under uncultured bacterium. RNAcentral's name for it is "partial 16S ribosomal RNA". It matches the Rfam family "Bacterial small subunit ribosomal RNA", at positions 30 to 507 of the family's 1533-position model. The record is from RNAcentral.
AUUGAACGCUGGCGGCAUGCUUUACACAUGCAAGUCGGACGGCAGCACAGAGAAGCUUGCUUCUUGGGUGGCGAGUGGCGAACGGGUGAGUAACAUAUCGGAACGUACCGAGCAGUGGGGGAUAACUAAUCGAAAGAUUAGCUAAUACCGCAUAUUUUCUGAGGAAGAAAGCAGGGGACCUUUGGGCCUUGCGCUGUUUGAGCGGCCGAUAUCUGAUUAGCUAGUUGGUGGGGUAAAGGCCUACCAAGGCGACGAUCAGUAGCGGGUCUGAGAGGAUGAUCCGCCACACUGGGACUGAGACACGGCCUAGACUCCUACGGGAGGCAGCAGUGGGGAAUUUUGGACAAUGGGCGCAAGCCUGAUCCAGCCAUGCCGCGUGUCUGAAGAAGGCCUUCGGGUUGUAAAGGACUUUUGUCAGGGAAGAAAAGGGCGGGGUUAAUACCCCUGUCUGAUGACGGUACCUGAAGAAUAAGCACCGGCUAACUACGUG